UCUAAGUAAGGAGUAGAAAACCCAAACCCUUCUCCCAACUCCUAUCUUCCGAUCGUUUUUGAUCCCGAACCCUUCUCCCAACUCCUCUUCUCACGCGGCCUUCUCCAUCCAACUCCUCUCCGGCAAACCCCCCUCUGGUGAACCCCUCUCCGCGAACCACUCCUCCGAACUCCUCUCCGUCAAGAACACGGGAUUAAUCUCUUCACCUUCGUCGCCUCAUUCACGCUUCCUUCACACUGCCCAAUCUCUUUGACCACACCUUAUUCAAGCGACAGAUCCCGGAACUGGUCGAGUUCCGGGUCAUCGAAGACCUUGCGACGGCAGCUCAGCCGCGACUCCAGCUCCCGAGCUAACCCCUUUCCAGUCGAGCGAAGGAGAAAGUAAGGAGUAAGCCUCCUUCGUCCUCUCUCUCUCUCUCUUUCUCUGGGAGUUUAUUCCGCUUUCAGGCGUCUCACCCUUCCUUCGAUUACCAGCGUAAAGGUAAGCGAUCUGCUUUGCUUGUCCAUGGAAGAACGACGAGGUCAUCUCUAGGUUACAUUUUUUUCCCUCUCCCUUGCUUUCUUCUUGAACCUUUUGUGUCGAUUCAUGACGAAGCAUUUGAUCUCAGUUCUGAAUUAGAAGUUCCAGUAUGUAAAUGGGCAACCUUUUGUCUCUAACUAUUUAGUUUUCAGAAUCCGACAUUUGGGGAUAGAAAUGUUUCAUCUUUUCUCUCUCUCUCUCUCUAGGGCUACUAGACUGUAGCCUUCUGGAUUAACUUGUGUUUAUCUUGUUAUUAGGUUCUCGGUGGAGUGAUCAUGCUAACUUCAUUCAUUUUUAGGGUUUUGAUGUAAGACACCAAAAAACUUUGUUGCUUUGGACUGGGCGAUGUUUACAGUGAGAAACUGACCCUAGAAUUGAAUAAGCAAGAGAUUGAGCAGUUGCGUUUCUGGUGCCAAUAUUGAUUCUAUUUGGAUUGUUGAGAGAAUUGGGAGUAUUUGCUGAUAUUCUCUUCUCAUGGUUACCAUUCUAUUAUGGAGCAAAGCUUGGCGCCUUCCUGUAUUUGUGGCAUCCCCGGACAAAAGGAGCAACAUUUGUCUAUGAGACAUUCCUAGCGCCUUUUAUCGCAGAGCAUGAGUCUGAGAUUGAUCCGUCUUUGUUUGAGUUUAGAGCUAGGGCAGCAGAUUGGGGAUUGAUAGCUUGGCAGAUGGCUGUUAGCUACUUGCAGACAAGUGUUCCUGAGAUGAAGAAAUAUGCUAUUUCAUUGAUGCCAACAAUGAACUCUAUAGAGGAACCACUAGCAACGCCAGUGCACUGAGCAACAUGACCCUGGAAGAGUGCCAAAGUUUGUGUUGGACGAACUGUUCUUGCGUGGCAUUUUCUAUGAUCAGAGACAACAUGUGCCUAUCUUGGCCUGCUGACCUGAUGGAUAUUAGGGUUUUUGCACAAGGCAGCAAUGAUCUAUACGUUCGGCUUGCAGCUUCUGAAUUAGAUUCAAUAAGGAGUUCAGGAAAGCAGAAAUCAUUAGUGAUAAACUGUUCCAGUGCUGAGCUUUCUAUUGUUACUAUGUGUUGGUUCAGUUUUAUGGUUGGAGCGAAGAAGCAAGCUCGGAAUGUUUGCUACUAUUCAUUGUUCAUACGAGCAACAGAAAUUAAACAAUUGUUGCUUGUGAUAUCUAAAAGCUAUUACCUUGUAUAACUUGUUCAUUUUUUAAUAGUUAAACCAGACAUAGUAGACCCCUCCACUCCCAAAGAAACAGAGCUCGACUUGAGUAUGGUUUCGAUAAGAGCUGCCACAAAUGAAUUUUCAAGAGACAAUAUAGUUGGAAUGGGUGGAUUUGGCUUUAUUUACAAGGUAAAUUAGCAGAUGGACAAGAGGUUGCUGUGAAAAGAUUGUCCAAAGCUUCUGAACAAGGUACAGAUGAGUUCAAGACUGAGGUUUCGAUCAUUGCCAAACUACAACACCGAAAUCUUGUUCGUCUACUGGGUUACUGCAUCAAGGAUGAGGAAAGAAUCCUUAUCUACGAGUACAUGACAAAUAAAAGCUUGGACACUUUCAUAUUUGGUCAUGUUCAAUCUGUUUAAAGCUCACAAAGAUCCUAGACAAAAUCCAAUUGCUUAUUCCUGUAAUAGAUUGAGAGACAAGCUACUUCUUCAGUAUUGUGGUAGUAAUUACUGUACUGUAUCUCUUUCUCAAGCCGAUAAUAAUUUUUUAGUGUAGCUAGUAGAAGUAAACAGAUUGUUGGCUUCGAGGUCGGCUAAUUAGUUUGUGCUCUUUUGUUUUAUAUGUGAAUAUCACUAUCUACUUUGAAACAGAAUUAGUGUUAAUUUUGAUA
Molecule: RNA transcript, 2311 nt
Organism: Zingiber officinale
Lineage: Eukaryota; Viridiplantae; Streptophyta; Magnoliopsida; Zingiberales; Zingiberaceae
Gene name: putative HVA22-like protein g
Exons: 9
Source: RefSeq, a predicted model, not a curated record